AUGCUUGAACAUCUUGUUGACGAUGCAUUGAUAGAUAAUUCUUAUAUUUUUCAACCUAAAAGAUAUCAGUUUAUAAUAAUAUAGACCUUUAUCAAUGAUAAAUAUAGUCUUCUCCUCAUAUUCAGUCAUUAUUCAGAUUUGAUUGUAUCCUAAAAAGACAUCCAUGAAACUCAUUAGCUCAUAACCCAAGGUGGCAUCUAUGAGCUGAUCAAUCCUAAAGCUAUCCUUCGAGCAUAUCUUGCUCAAAUUGGUGUAGUC
RNAcentral lists this long non-coding RNA (258 nucleotides) under Elaeis guineensis (African oil palm). RNAcentral's name for it is "long non-coding RNA (EGUI_LNC009309)". Lineage: Eukaryota; Viridiplantae; Streptophyta; Magnoliopsida; Arecales; Arecaceae. The record is from RNAcentral.